UCUUGCAAUUGGAUUGAGAACAACGUACAACUCUUAUCGAUAAGCCAUUGGAGGGCAAGUCUGGUGCCAGCAGCCGCGGUAAUUCCAGCUCCAAUAGCGUAUAUUAACGUUGUUGCAGUUAAAAAGCUCGUAGUUGAAGUGAGGGAGUGUGUGUUCAUGAGAGCUAGUCUCGAGUGUUCACAACCUCCCCCCUCCAAUCGGUGUAGUGGGGUAUUCAGUUAUUUCACUACUCCUUUGGUCGUUUACUGUGAGAAAAUUAGAGUGUUCAAAGCGGGCGUUUGUUUGAAUAGAUUAGCAUGGAAUAAUGAUUGAAGGCUUUCGUGUUCGAUUUGAUUGGUUUGUUCAUGGAAGCAAGGUUAAAAGGAACAGUUGGGGGUAUUCAUAUUCACUAGUUAGAGGUGAAAUUCUCGGAUUUAUGGAAGAUGAACAAGUGCGAAAGCAA
This 442-nucleotide ribosomal RNA is filed under the name Blastocystis hominis. Its description in RNAcentral is "SSU rRNA". It matches the Rfam family "Eukaryotic small subunit ribosomal RNA", at positions 501 to 954 of the family's 1831-position model. Lineage: Eukaryota; Bigyra; Opalinata; Blastocystidae. The record is from RNAcentral.